CCUACGGGGUGCAGCAGCAGGGAAUUUUGCACAAUGGGCGAAAGCCUGAUGCAGCGACGCCGCGUGGGGGAUGAAUGCCUUCGGGUUGUAAACCCCUUUCAGGAGGGACGAAGCGAAAGUGACGGUACCUCCAGAAGAAGCCCCGGCCAACUACGUGCCAGCAGCCGCGGUAAUACGUAGGGGGCGAGCGUUGUCCGGAUUUAUUGGGCGUAAAGAGCUCGUAGGCGGCUCAGCAAGUCGGCCGUGAAAACCUGAGGCUCAACCUCAGGACGCCGGUCGAAACUGCUGUGGCUAGGGUUCGGUAGAGGAGAGUGGAAUUCCCGGUGUAGCGGUGAAAUGCGCAGAUAUCGGGAGGAACACCAGUAGCGAAGGCGGCUCUCUGGGCCGACACCGACGCUGAGGAGCGAAAGCUAGGGGAGCAAACAGGAUUAGAUACCCCAGUAGUCC
RNAcentral lists this ribosomal RNA (447 nucleotides) under uncultured bacterium. RNAcentral's name for it is "bacterial SSU rRNA". It matches the Rfam family "Bacterial small subunit ribosomal RNA", at positions 338 to 796 of the family's 1533-position model. The record is from RNAcentral.